CUUUAGUUGCGACAGUGGACUUCUACUUUGUCACUAGUUUUGACUGUACCUCAUAUCCGAAGAAGCUGAAGAGUCACACGUUUCAGUGGGUCCAAUAGUUGCAUCAUUGGCCUAAUAACAACACCGUAGCUUCAUACAAACGUCAAAACCGUGCAGGCUAGUAGUUUUCAAAUGCCUCUAUGAUUGUCGCCACACAUACUGGAGAGUAAGAGGCGAUAACUGAGGAUGGCUGUGCAGAGGUUACAAAAGCCACAUCUGUCGACAGAAAGACGGGGAACUUGAGCAGCCACCGGUUGGCUCAGUUUCUGUCAGACUGCUUCAGAUCCUGUCUGAUGGGUUUUAGGUGCUCAAGAAACUCUUUUGGUGGUAGAAGUAGUAGGCUACA
Long non-coding RNA from Seriola dumerili (greater amberjack), 385 nucleotides. RefSeq lists it as uncharacterized. The record is from RefSeq and is a predicted model, not a curated record. NCBI's taxonomy places the organism in Eukaryota, Metazoa, Chordata, Actinopteri, Carangiformes, Carangidae. The transcript has 3 exons.